Molecule: ribosomal RNA, 431 nt
Filed under: uncultured Arthrobacter sp.
Lineage: Bacteria; Bacillati; Actinomycetota; Actinomycetes; Micrococcales; Micrococcaceae
Description: bacterial SSU rRNA
Rfam family: Bacterial small subunit ribosomal RNA
Source: RNAcentral
GGAAUAUUGCACAAUGGGCGAAAGCCUGAUGCAGCGACGCCGCGUGAGGGAUGACGGCCUUCGGGUUGUAAACCUCUUUCAGUAGGGAACAAGGCCAGUGUUUAGCUGGUUGAGGGUACUUGCAGAAGAAGCGCCGGCUAACUACGUGCCAGCAGCCGCGGUAAUACGUAGGGCGCAAGCGUUAUCCGGAAUUAUUGGGCGUAAAGAGCUCGUAGGCGGUUUGUCGCGUCUGCCGUGAAAGUCCGGGGCUCAACUCCGGAUCUGCGGUGGGUACGGGCAGACUAGAGUGAUGUAGGGGAGACUGGAAUUCCUGGUGUAGCGGUGAAAUGCGCAGAUAUCAGGAGGAACACCGAUGGCGAAGGCAGGUCUCUGGGCAUUAACUGACGCUGAGGAGCGAAAGCAUGGGGAGCGAACAGGAUUAGAUACCCUUG